CGCCCCUACCUGCCACCGGGACGUGCUGGCUCCUGCCGGGGAGCGCUUCUUCCUUCUGCGGUAAUCGGGAGCCCGAGUCGCCCAUCCGGAAGAUCUAUACUCGCUCCACUGUCUGCCAAGAAUGCAUUUCUGAAAAAUGCACCAGUUCAUGACACAAUGGAUAGCCACGUAAUUUUCCCUUAAGAGUUAAUGUAUCUACCGGUGAGCCUGAAUGCCAGCCUGGAUCUUUUACCAUGAGCAUCCUUGCUGCCUCUUUGUGAAAGGCUACAUUUUCGUUGCCGUCCUCUUUGCAUGAAUCAGGGUCAGUCAGAGGUGAAGGGCAGAAAACCAGACUAAUGUUUGGCUGUUCAGUCUCGCAGAUGAAGUGGCUGAGAUGUUGCAGAGCCCUGAUGUGCUCCGAAAUGCCAGCUGCUGAAAAGCCAGCGUUGUCUCCACUCAAAUGAUCCCAGUGAUCCUCUGUGCCAUACAUGCUGUCCCUGUGUAUUUAUAUUGUGAGUAUCCCUUAAAUCAUAGGUGUCCUUUCCAGUACAUUAAUUCUUAGAGGAAAAAUUGCUUUGUCACCCAUUGUGUUCAGCUGCUUCAUUUGUGAGGCUGGUAACAGCAGAGCAGGGUACGGAAGGAUUGGCAUUGGGACUCCAAAACAGUGGUUAGAGCAGUGACAGUGGGGCUGCUGAUGCAUUUUGAUUACAGCUAUUAUGAGCAGGAAACAAUCUUUCAUUCUGUGUCUUUAUGGCCCUUCACACACUGUGUUCCUGCUUCGUAACUGGAUCCGAACUAUUAAAUAGUUAUAAGCCAUCAUGCCACUUAACAAAUAAAAACUGCCAAUUUUCAGAAGUGUUUAGUGCUUCUUGGCUCCACAGAAACAGAAUACUUUUUAAAUGAGAUGAAUCCUGUUUACAUUUCAGGAAUGCGUGAACUAUCCCCUUCUCUCAUUCCACAGGUUGAUAUCUGGGUGCGAGAGUCUGAAAAUUAAAUUCUAACUUUAAAAAAUGUUCUUGAUACGAAUUUACCUGUAAUGAAGAGAUUUCUUUUAUCCAGUUUUUGUUAGCCAGAGUUACUGCUGUAGACUAUGAUCAUCCCUCAAGAUAAACAGGACUCUAGGAAGUGAAGUAUGUUUUCCAAUUCUUAUGAGAUGUUUGAAGGAGUGCGGUGAAGAUGAUUGAACAGAUGAGCUUCCCCUCAAGGCCCUGUUUCGCCCUGGCCAGCAUCUUCCCAGGGAUGCUGGUCUGGGGAUGCUGGUCCAGGGAUGCGGGCUGCUUCCCUGAGCCCUCUCGUGGACUCCUUCCUCCACUGCAGCAGGCAGUUCCUACAAACGAGGCAAUUAGUGUGCUCCAGGAAGAUGAUCUUUAUGAAACGUGAGCUGUUUCCUCAUCUCCAUGCAUCAGAAAAGCCUAUGAGGAAAAAAAAAAAAAACAAACCACCCAAAAAACCAACCAAACCAAACCAAAAAAACACCCCAACAGACUGGUAUUUCAUUAAAGGUGAUGAGGAAUUUGUAGGGCUUUGACCACAGAUAUCUUAUUUUUGCUCUGGCAUCCAGCAAUAACAGUGAUUAUUGAAUUGCAACACAGAAAGCUCUUCUGGGGAUAGAUAUGCAGCACAGCCUGUCAUUGCUUGGCAAAAUGCACUUAGGUGCUGAUGUAAAUGGAAAGGUUGUCUAUUCGAGAUAGUUUCAUUGGAGAAAUCAUAAUAAAAUGGAUUAAGAGACACCUGAAAUGCUUCUCGGUUUUAAACAAAAAUAUCAGGACAUUUCCUGACAGCAUCUGGAUUCUUGAGGGAAAUUAAAUGCCAGGUAAUAUUCUGUUUGGAAGAAAAUAAAUUAACAGCAUAUGUAAAAUAUAUCUGACUGCCUAUUAAAUUAUCUUUUUUAUCAUC
This is a long non-coding RNA of Falco peregrinus (peregrine falcon), 1875 nucleotides long. RefSeq lists it as uncharacterized. NCBI's taxonomy places the organism in Eukaryota, Metazoa, Chordata, Aves, Falconiformes, Falconidae. The transcript is spliced from 4 exons. The record is from RefSeq and is a predicted model, not a curated record.